RNAcentral lists this ribosomal RNA (403 nucleotides) under uncultured bacterium. RNAcentral describes it as "bacterial SSU rRNA". It matches the Rfam family "Bacterial small subunit ribosomal RNA", at positions 976 to 1380 of the family's 1533-position model. The record is from RNAcentral.
AUCCCUUGACAUGUCGUGCCAUCCGGAGAGAUCCGGGGUUCCCUUCGGGGACGCGAACACAGGUGCUGCAUGGCUGUCGUCAGCUCGUGUCGUGAGAUGUUGGGUUAAGUCCCGCAACGAGCGCAACCCACGUCCUUAGUUGCCAUCAUUCAGUUGGGCACUCUAGGGAGACUGCCGGUGAUAAGCCGCGAGGAAGGUGUGGAUGACGUCAAGUCCUCAUGGCCCUUACGGGAUGGGCUACACACGUGCUACAAUGGCGGUGACAGUGGGACGCGAAACCGCGAGGUUGAGCAAAUCCCCAAAAACCGUCUCAGUUCAGAUUGCACUCUGCAACUCGAGUGCAUGAAGGCGGAAUCGCUAGUAAUCGUGGAUCAGCAUGCCACGGUGAAUACGUUCCCGGGCC